RNAcentral lists this transfer RNA (124 nucleotides) under Salinibacter ruber. RNAcentral describes it as "tRNA-Leu". The record is from RNAcentral. Lineage: Bacteria; Pseudomonadati; Rhodothermota; Rhodothermia; Rhodothermales; Salinibacteraceae.
GCCCGAGUGGUUCGUCCGCAAUUCGCCGUCGAGCGCCGCGAGACAAGGAUUCGGACGGUAGACGCGCGUGAUUCAGGGUCACGUGGCUCUUGCGGCCGUGGAGGUUCGAGUCCUCUCUCGGGCA